CCUCAAUUAAUCUGAAGUUUAAAUGAACGACAGGCUUGAAAUGCAUAAAUGCGACGAACCGCAAAUGGAAACUCGAAUCGGCACUGUAAAUUUCACCCGUACUAGCACUCGGAUAGAUUGUUCAUUCAAACUCCAUUUUUCAAAUCAAAAUCGAGACUCGAUAAAAUAAAAUGGCAGAACGACAAUGAGGAAGAGACUUUUCCGAUCAAUAAUGGUCAGAGACAAUUUCUGCUCCUUUUUUGUCGUCCAAGAAUGCUGGAUAGGGGGGGGGAAGCGACGAGUCUUAUGGUGUUUGGUGUGGUUGUUUGGUUGUUGGGGUGGUGCGUGAUGGGUGGUUGUUGGCUGAAGAAGGAGAACGAGGGUCGUUUCCGGCGAGUACGGUCUUGUGUGUGUAGGGUAAUGUAAUUGGUUGAAGAAGGCUGUUGUUGUUCAUUUGUUUAUGCUAGAUUUCCCACUACCUUGCCGGGCCAUUGGAGAAGAUGACAAAACCAGUAGUGCCUCCGGUGGUUGGGUGUUAGAGACAGUUGGCAGCAGCGGCGGCCGAGGGUUUCUACAGUUUUGCUUCUAGUCCUAAGGUUAAGGAAGAUAUGGCAGCCAUGAGAGUUCUAGUAGUCUUCUAGGAAUUCCAGGUUGAGGUUGUAAGGCUAAG
This 649-nucleotide long non-coding RNA is filed under the name Nicotiana benthamiana. Its description in RNAcentral is "long non-coding RNA (NBEN_LNC006326)". Lineage: Eukaryota; Viridiplantae; Streptophyta; Magnoliopsida; Solanales; Solanaceae. The record is from RNAcentral.